AGAGUUUGAUCCUGGCUCAUAUUGAACGCUGGCGGCAUGCCUAACACAUGCAAGUCGAACGGAAACGACGAAAACAAAGCCGAGAAAGCACUUCGGUGUGAGUAGAGCGGCGGACGGGUGAGUAACGCGUAGGAAUUUGCCCAGUAGUGGGGGACAACAUGUGGAAACGCAUGCUAAUACCGCAUACGCCCUAUGGGGGAAAGCAGGGGAUCUUCGGACCUUGCGCUAUUGGAGAAGCCUGCGUCGGAUUAGCUAGUUGGUGGGGUAAAGGCCUCCCUAGGCAACGAUCCGUAGCUGGUCUGAGAGGAUGAUCAGCCACACUGGGACUGAGACACGGCCCAGACUCCUACGGGAGGCAGCAGUGGGGAAUAUUGGACAAUGGGCGCAAGCCUGAUCCAGCCAUACCGCGUGUGUGAAGAAGGCUCUAGGGUUGUAAAGCACUUUAAGUUGGGAGGAAAGGUUGAAGUUUAAUAAACUUUAGCUGUGACGUUACCAACAGAAUAAGCACCGGCUAACUCCGUGCCAGCAGCCGCGGUAACACGGAGGGUGCAAGCGUUAAUCGGAAUUACUGGGCGUAAAGCGCGCGUAGGUGGUUUAGUAAGUUGGGUGUGAAAUCCCCGGGCUUAACCUGGGAACUGCAUUCAAAACUGCUGGACUAGAGUACGAUAGAGGGGGGUAGAAUUUCAGGUGUAGCGGUGAAAUGCGUAGAGAUCUGAAGGAAUACCGGUGGCGAAGGCGGCCACCUGGACAAAGACUGACACUGAGGCGCGAAGGCGUGGGGAGCAAACGGGAUUAGAUACCCCGGUAGUCCACGCAGUAAACGAUGUCUAUUAGCCGUUGGGAUCCUUGAGAUCUUAGUGGCGCAGCUAACGCGUUAAGUUGACCGCCUGGGGAGUACGGCCGGAAGGUUAAAACUCAAAUGAAUUGACGGGGGCCCGCACAAGCGGUGGAGCAUGUGGUUUAAUUCUAUGCAACGCGAAGAACCUUACCAGGCCUUGACAUCCUCGGAACUUAGCAGAGAUGCUUUGGUGCCUUCGGGAACCGAGUGACAGGUGCUGCAUGGCUGUCGUCAGCUCGUGUCGUGAGAUGUUGGGUUAAGUCCCGUAACGAGCGCAACCCUUGUCCUUAUUUGCCAGCACGUAAUGGUGGGAACUCUAGUGGGACUGCCGGUGUCAAGCCGGAGGAAGGUGGGGACGACGUCAAGUCAUCAUGGCCCUUACGACCUGGGCUACACACGUGCUACAAUGGCCGGUACAGAGGGUUGCCAAACCGCGAGGUGGAGCUAAUCCCAGAAAGCCGGUCGUAGUUCGGAUUGGAGUCUGCAACUCGACUCCAUGAAGCCGGAAUCGCUAGUAAUCGCGAAUCAGAAUGUCGCGGUGAAUACGUUCCCGGGCCUUGUACACACCGCCCGUCACACCAUGGGAGUGGGUUGCAAAAGAAGUGGGUAGACUAACCUUCGGGAGGUCGCUCACCACUUUGUGAUUCAGGACUGGGGUGAAGUCGUAACAAGGUA
RNAcentral lists this ribosomal RNA (1513 nucleotides) under uncultured prokaryote. RNAcentral describes it as "partial 16S ribosomal RNA". It matches the Rfam family "Bacterial small subunit ribosomal RNA". The record is from RNAcentral.